Molecule: long non-coding RNA, 1193 nt
Filed under: Equus caballus (horse)
Lineage: Eukaryota; Metazoa; Chordata; Mammalia; Perissodactyla; Equidae
Description: lncRNA (ENSECAG00000047306.1)
Source: RNAcentral
UCCAGACUCCCUGCUCUCAGGGCAGCCCUGAGCCUGCAAGAGGACACACAGACCCAGAUUCUUUAAAAAAUAACGGCUUUGAGGCCGACCCGGUGGUGCAGCAGGUGGAAGGAGAAAACAAACACGGCUGUUAGAGGAGUUUGUGCUCUAACAGAACAGAUUCAUGCACCCGUGACAUGAAGACGUGGACCAGAGCUGGACCCCUAUUGAGGACAUGUUAGCUGGAGUUCUAGCAUCCCUCUUGAGACCUGAGACAACCUCAAAGUUGGAAGCUGUGGUCUUAGGAGAGUGGAGCAGAAGCUAGAAGGAGCCGGGGUCUCUGAUGAGACAGUGGGGCCACCAUGCCAGCCACGGGCUACCCACCUCCAACUACUCUUCCGCCAUGAGAAGAAGCCUGGACUAGCCUGCUGAGGAUGAGAGACCGACCACAUAGAGCAGAACAUCUGAAAAGCAACCGACCAGAGAUAUGCAGUUUCUUUAAAACCCACCCGCCUUCCUUUGAUCCCCUGGAAGAGGUGGACUUCCUGACCUUGGCCUUGGGGUAUGGAUGUCCCUGUCCCCAUCAAAUCUCCAAACAAAACAGAACAAAUUCCCCUUCCUGACCAAGUUCUCGAACAGAGGCUGUGAGGACACCCCCACCCUGCAUUUUCCUUUCUGCCUUUUGAGUCCAGCUGUUCUGGCUACGCAUUCCGCACUACCAGCUUGCUCCAGCUCCCGUUGGAUGGGGACGCCGUGGUGCACUGAGGUCACCAUGGGCCUCAGGUCUGUCUCAUCAACCCCUAGAGGAUGGGGGUCAUAUUCCUGGAAUAGCUCCAAGAAGCCCCACCCAGUUUUAGGUCAAAAGCUUGACAAAUAAGUAUUGUUUCAACAGCAGAGGCCCUGGCUUGAGGUAAGUUGGAAUCAGACCAGUCCUGUGGGGCCAGAACAAUCUGGUGGAGCCUGAGGUCUGCAGGCAGCCUGUUUGCACAGUUGAUGAGGUAAAGGAGAUGAUGAGGAGAAUGCACAAUAUUGCUAAGUUUCCAUUCACUAUUGCCCUCCCGUACCCUACACAUACUUACACAUACACACACAUACACUUGUUCACAUACACACUCUCUCACACACUCACACACUUGCUCUCUUACACACUCACACUCACACACCUGCCCCAGGGACUCAUGGUUUUAAGGCCGGGGGUGAGAGGGCUGCUCCAG